This 2492-nucleotide long non-coding RNA is filed under the name Equus caballus (horse). RNAcentral's name for it is "lncRNA (ENSECAG00000053287.1)". Lineage: Eukaryota; Metazoa; Chordata; Mammalia; Perissodactyla; Equidae. The record is from RNAcentral.
GUAUACAGUUUGUUUCUUUUACUGGAUGUUGCAGAACGCUAAAUCUGCAGGACUAGAUGGAAAAACAAAGUUGGGCAGAGCUUCUCCAUCUAGUCUGAUAAAACUUCCUAUUCAAGAGAAAGUGACUAAGGGUCAACAGCAAUUACUUCAAAACUUAUUUUACUAUGUCAAUACCUGAAAACAUAUAUUUUAAAAGAUGAACAUACAAAGUCCAAAUAAAGUCAUUUUUUAAAACUUUAUUAUUGUUUACCAAUGGGGAGAUGCAGUUUAUUUACACCAGCAGCCAUAGGGGCAAGGGGAAUACACAGUUAAGUCAGCAAUCUGUAUAGGAUGGACUACUUAUGCAAAAAUAAGAAUCUCCAAAACAAAGGACAGUGGUGGGCUUCACUACACUUCCCCAAUGAUCCCAGCAUGCGACAAUGCCAGGCAAUGGCCCCAGGCAUGCGGUGGUGGAAAGUAACGUAUGGAAGAAAAAGCCACAAACCACAGAAAUUUGUAAAGAACCCCUUUCCCCCCAUACACACACACACUCAGAUACAUAAUAGAAUUACACGGUGAUCAAUACACUAAUUGAACAGGGAGGGAGAGAAAUUCUGCUGUUAGAGGGAAGAUAGGUAGGCAAAGGGAGAGUUCCUAACCACUGUCAACUACAUGGUAGGGAGUAUUCUCUCCCCAAAAAGACUUUGUCCCCUCAGGGCACCUGUUGGACCUAGCACACCUUACACCCAUCCAGGGCAGGAGGCUACUGCCCUAAUAGUGGGGGGCAAAAAAAUAAAAACUAAAACCAAGAGGGAGGUAACGUGAACCAACCAUUACUCAAAACUACUCCCCACUUCUUCCUCCUCUAACAGGAGAAAAGGCCAGAAAGGAAACAGUAAUGUCACAGUCUGCACUCCCUCUCUGAAGGAAGAGUGGACCAUGGUCCUAUCUUCAGCCUGUUUCUCAGACAUUAUUUAAAAUUAGGCCAGUCUCACUUAAAACCUCCUUACUCUCUGUAUCCCCUUAGAAUGAGAUGUUUACAAAAAGGGCAGAUAACCCCAAAAAAGCAAGAUAUUUUAGCUCUUGCUUUUUUUUUAAAGUUAUCACAAUUCUUGGAUUGAAGACCAAUCUGUAACUAGGUCCUGACCCUAAGCACGACAACUCUGGGGGAGAAUGCAGUAACAGAUAGUCUUGAGGCCUUAUUACUAUGGUUCCCUUAAUCCUCUAAAGUAUGUAACCCAAAUCAGUCCACAUGGUCCAAACGGUUCCUUCUGGGAUAAGGAAGGAUACAUGCACAGCAAGGGUUAAAGAAAACGCAUCAGGACCAACUCCAUCCCUGUGUGUGUCAGCCAGCCUUGACUGCUCUUCUGCCUAAGUCCUAAGAGGCGGUAUCCAAGUGGAGAAAUGCUUAGGUGUGACACUGCCUUUCAUAUACAAAAACUUAGGUUCCUUUCUCAUCCUAAGCCUAACACAGAAAGCCAUAAGAAAGAUUCUUCUGAGUCUCCCACACAAACAAGAAGAAAAAAACAUAAGAAACUUAAAAGAAGCCAAGGAAAGGGAAACUGGGCAGGCUUCAGAAGCAGGAGCAUCAAGAGAUGAAAUGAAACUGGUCAAUGUGAAAGCAGGGUGGCAGGCAGCACCUGGGGUCAUGAGCUGCACCAAAUAGGCAGUGGAGCAGGGACGUGUGGCCAAGCCAGAGAGAUGAGGCUGGGUCCCUUACUAGGGCACAGAAUGAGGUAAGAAAACAUUUCAAAUAGAGCAGCACCGUUCCCGCUCACCUUGGGGCUCCCAUCCCUCUACACUUCAUAAACCCUCCAUCAGGGAGUAAAGUGGAGGGUAAUUCUGAUAUGCGGCUCACACUUCCCAUCCUCCCCAUCCCAUUCCCUGAAACCAGGGCAUUUCUGGAGGCCCUUUCCUGACUUCCAACAACAAAAGGACAGCUCUUGUAAAGAAGGUCCAAAGGGGACCCAGUGGAGAGGGCUGCCCCUUGUGAGAGGCAGAGAGUGACGUGUCUAGAUGUUCACCACAGCAGAGCUUUGUGACUGCCCAACCCAAGGAACAGGGGCAUUCAACAGGAUACUGCACAGUCAGAUGAGAUGACCCAGUCCUGCUCCUUGGCUCCUAGCACUAACCCAUUCACAUUACUGAGGGCAGCUGGAAGAGGUCCUCUCCGGGCUUAGCUUUCAAACCACAACCUCCUGCACAGCCAUGAUGCUCUUCUACAGUUCAGUCUUGCCCCUGGGGUGGAAGGCAGUUAGUGACCUGGCAUAAGGACCAAGUCAGGCUCACAAACUGGCUAGAUAACUAGUAACAGAGUAGGAAAAUGACUGCCCCACCAAACGCUUGUCCACAGCAUAAUGGAUCCAGAUAUGAAUCUUGCAGUUUGAGAGAUCGUGCAUAGUUGCAGAGGCCCCCACUACUUCCCCAAGAGAUCAUAACUAAAUUCUCAGCCUGCCUGGAUAACCAAGGGGUCCAUUUGCCAAGCCUAUGCCACAAGGUGGGGUGCCAGAAAG